GUCGAGGGGCAGCGGGGUAGUGCUUGCACUACUGCCGGCGACCGGCGCACGGGUGAGUAACACGUAUGGAACCUGCCCGCAGCAGGGGGAUAAGCGGAAGAAAUUCCGUCUAAUACCGCGUAACAACGUUGGGAGGCAUCUCCCGAUGUUUAAAGAUUUAUCGGCUGCGGAUGGCCAUGCGGCGCAUUACCUAGUCGGCGGGGUAACGGCCCACCGAGGCGACGAUGCGUAUGGGUUCUGAGAGGAAGGUCCCCCACACUGGUACUGAGACACGGACCAGACUCCUACGGGAGGCAGCAGUGAGGAAUAUUGGUCAAUGGCCGAGAGGCUGAACCAGCCAAGUCGCGUGAGGGAAGACGGCCCUACGGGUUGUAAACCUCUUUUGUCGGGGAGCAAAGCGAACCACGUGUGGUUCAUUGAGAGUACCCGAAGAAAAAGCAUCGGCUAACUCCGUGCCAGCAGCCGCGGUAAUACGGAGGAUGCGAGCGUUAUCCGGAUUUAUUGGGUUUAAAGGGUGCGCAGGCGGAGGUGCAAGUCAGCGGUCAAAUUGCGGGGCUCAACCCCGUACUGCCGUUGAAACUGCAUCCCUUGAGUGCGCGAGAAGUAUGCGGAAUGCGUGGUGUAGCGGUGAAAUGCAUAGAUAUCACGCAGAACUCCGAUUGCGAAGGCAGCAUACCGGCG
This 681-nucleotide ribosomal RNA is filed under the name uncultured bacterium. Its description in RNAcentral is "bacterial SSU rRNA". It matches the Rfam family "Bacterial small subunit ribosomal RNA", at positions 61 to 734 of the family's 1533-position model. The record is from RNAcentral.